GCUUUACACAUGCAAGUCGAACGGCAGCACGGGGCAACCUGGUGGCGAGUGGCGAACGGGUGAGUAAUAUAUCGGAACGUGCCCAAUCGUGGGGGAUAACGUAGCGAAAGUUACGCUAAUACCGCAUACGAUCUACGGAUGAAAGCGGGGGAUCGCAAGACCUCGCGCGANUGGAGCGGCCGAUAUCAGAUUAGGUAGUUGGUGGGGUAAAGGCUCACCAAGCCAACGAUCUGUAGCUGGUCUGAGAGGACGACCAGCCACACUGGAACUGAGACACGGUCCAGACUCCUACGGGAGGCAGCAGUGGGGAAUUUUGGACAAUGGGCGAAAGCCUGAUCCAGCCAUUCCGCGUGCAGGAUGAAGGCCUUCGGGUUGUAAACUGCCUUUGUACGGAACGAAACGGUCCUUUCUAAUACAAGGGGCUAAUGACGGUACCGUAAGAAUAAGCACCGGCUAACUACGUGCCAGCAGCCGCGGUAAUACGUAGGGUGCAAGCGUUAAUCGGAAUUACUGGGCGUAAAGCGUGCGCAGGCGGUUAUAUAAGACAGAUGUGAAAUCCCCGGGCUCAACCU
This 572-nucleotide ribosomal RNA is filed under the name uncultured Comamonadaceae bacterium. RNAcentral describes it as "bacterial SSU rRNA". It matches the Rfam family "Bacterial small subunit ribosomal RNA", at positions 46 to 615 of the family's 1533-position model. The record is from RNAcentral. Lineage: Bacteria; Pseudomonadati; Pseudomonadota; Betaproteobacteria; Burkholderiales; Comamonadaceae.